GUGGAUGUGGCUCAAUGGUAGAGCACUUGCCUAGCAUACAUGAGGCCUUGGGUUUGAUCCCCAGCACCACA
This 71-nucleotide transfer RNA is filed under the name Marmota marmota marmota (Alpine marmot). It matches the Rfam family "tRNA". Rfam says of the family: Transfer RNA (tRNA) molecules are approximately 80 nucleotides in length. Their secondary structure includes four short double-helical elements and three loops (D, anti-codon, and T loops). Further hydrogen bonds mediate the characteristic L-shaped molecular structure. tRNAs have two regions of fundamental functional importance: the anti-codon, which is responsible for specific mRNA codon recognition, and the 3' end, to which the tRNAs corresponding amino acid is attached (by aminoacyl-tRNA synthetases). tRNAs cope with the degeneracy of the genetic code in two manners: having more than one tRNA (with a specific anti-codon) for a particular amino acid; and 'wobble' base-pairing, i.e. permitting non-standard base-pairing at the 3rd anti-codon position. RNAcentral also lists the same sequence under 3 other names. Lineage: Eukaryota; Metazoa; Chordata; Mammalia; Rodentia; Sciuridae. The record is from Rfam by way of RNAcentral.